Seriola aureovittata is the source of this 1092-nucleotide long non-coding RNA. RefSeq lists it as uncharacterized. The record is from RefSeq and is a predicted model, not a curated record. The transcript is spliced from 10 exons. NCBI's taxonomy places the organism in Eukaryota, Metazoa, Chordata, Actinopteri, Carangiformes, Carangidae.
AUAUAUAUAUAUUUUUUUUUUUUUUUUUGAACAAGGCCUGUUGGUUUUGUCUUGUUUCUUCUACAGGAGUCCUUGUAAGAUGGUGGUGCUGAUACCGGAGCCGCCCAGUUAAGUGUUACCUGAUGUCAGAAGAAGAAGAAGAAGAAGAAGCAUGACUAUUUGAGAUCAACAACCAAAGUCUACAGUCCUUGGCUUGUGUGAAACGUCCAGCUGCUCAUCAACUGUGAGAUGGGGGAAGAGAAGUUUUGAUGUAUGAAUACAGAGGGUCCAAUUGGAGAUGUCUUACCUCGAAGGACUAUUUGGAGGAUCCAAUUAGGAGCGUCAACGAGGCGCAGCCCUGGGUGCUGUGUGCAAUUAGGAGUGUCACAGAGGCACCGCCCAGUGAGGAGAUGCGAUUGGCCGUUCACAGGUGUGAGCAAUCAGCAGUGUGCUACUUGAGCAGCAGUGCCGGUGUGUCAGUCCUUGUGUGAAGACUGACGUGUGCUGUGUGUUUCAUGGCUCACAGCAAACACUGAGGACCUGCUAGCUAACUCCUUUCUGUGCAAAAACCGAAGGCACGGGUGAAGAUGUGCAGGUCCACCGAGCUUCUUUUUCCGCAAAAACCGAAGACACGGGUGAAGGCUAACUUCUUUCUCCGCAAACGAUGGCUUGGACAGCAAAAACUGAAGGCAUGGGUGAAGACCUGCCCUGCUCCUUUCCUCAAAAACUGAAGACAUGGCUGAAGGCUAACUUCUUUCUCCGCAGGCGGCAGCCAUUGCACUCAUUGUCUCUGCCGUGUGCUUCAUUGCUCACAGCUGUGUAGGAUGAAGCAAAGACUGAAGGGUGCUCUCUGCAAACACUCUGGAGCUGUGGUGUCACCAACAAUGAAAGGUAAGUGUUGAAAAGCUGUAGGUAACACUAUCACAAGCAUUUACCUUCUGCCUUUUCCUCCACCAGCACCAAGAGCCCCUUGCUGAUGACACCAAGCCCAUUCCUGCUCAAACCAUGGGGGAAAGAGAAGAAGGAACCAACCAACUGCUAAUUGUGGUAUGGAGAUGUGUUACUAAGUCAAAAACAGCAACACUGCUAGAUGCAACAACAGAGUAUCUGACA